UUUUAGUAACAGCCACUCGACACGGGCUGGAACAGUGAUCAACCUGGGGACACGCCUGGGCCUCAGGCUCCUUCCCUUGGCACCGGGGAAAGCGGGGAGGCGCCGCUCCCUCCCGAGGCCCAGCGACAAAGCGCCCGCGCCAGCCGCUCAGAACCCCCAACCCCGCUUCGGAUCGCCGGCGUCUCGCAGAGAAGCGGCGCGGACGCCUCCAAACACGCCCGGCUGCGAAGAUCUGGGCGGAGGCAGCUCUCCCCCCACCCGCGGCUCCCCGGGGCCGCUCGCCCCUCCCCCCACUAGGGGGUCCCCUAGAGCCGCGGAGAGCGGCGCAGGCUGAUGACCCGCAGCGACGCGACCCCCAACCACUGGGGCGACGAGACUGAUGCCCCCCCAUUGCGCUGCGGAGGGGGGGGAGCAGAUGCGGGGGGGGGGGGUUAUCUCCACACUCGGCCUCGGUUCAGCGAGCGGGGGGCGGGGAGUCCUCUUGCCCAAGCGCCCCGGAGCCCGGCCGCCACCUCUCCCGCGCGCUCCCCAGCCGGCCGCUCGGGACGCCGCCGCCGCGCAGAAAGCUUAGCAGAAUCUGUCAAACUGUUGUGCCAGCUGCAGAGCCAUACCAGGAAAGACAGGAGAAGAUGAAUGAUUUUGUUGAUGCUUAACCAACACUCCUUCUGUACCAAGCUAAAGCUAGUGUAGGAUAUCUUUAUGUUUGCUGACUUCUGGAAAAUUAUGUUCAAAACACGAUAAGAACCUGCAGCUGCUGAAAGAAAGAAAAACAAGAUGGAAACAGUUGUCUCUGCUCUGAUUGUUGUUUAUGUCCUGGAUGAAGGAAGAAGAGCUCUGGGAAUUCAACUGAGACAUAUGUAUCAGAGGUUAUCUGGAUUACUAGUGUGUUAUUUUUAUAAAGGUCCAGAGAAAGCUAUUAUGCUGGCCAUGACAUCCUGGGAGUGAACAAAGAUUCUUUUGCAGGAAUGUAAACUAUCUCAUCAGAGGCCAUCUAGUUGAACACAUCCUUUUGUUACCUCAGAGCACAGAAUAAAUUACUUCCCUAAUGAUAAAAAAUAGCAGAGUGGCAAGGCCAUUAAGCAAAGCCAUUGUUUCACAUGUAUCUCAUGGAAACAAAGUACUAAAAACCCCCACCCUCCUCAAUACAUAUGAUGACUGAAUACAUAUGGGAAAGGCACUGCUAUUAAAAUACUGUAAUGCAAAUCAGUAGAAGAAAAACAGGACACUUUUGCCUCACUUACAAUGGGCAUUUAAUCAAAUUAGCUGAACUGAUUUUAAAUGGCUUAAAAGAGGUUAACAGUUUUAACGUGGAUUGACUGAACAAUUUAGCCUGGGCUAGACUGAAUGUAUCUAUCUAAGGUAUUUAUCUGGUCCCCAUCACUACAGUAUCUGAAUACCUCACAAUCUUGAAUGUAUUUAUCCUCACAAUACUCCUGUGAGGUAUGUAAGUAUUAUUUUUACAGAGGGGAAACUGAGGCACGGAGCUCAAGUGAAUUGCCCAAGGUUACAGAGGAAGUCUGUGGUGGAGCAGGGAAUCCAACCUUCUGGCUAGCACCUUAUCCUCUCUAAACCCAAUUUAAACUUUUAAAUAUUUAAAUAGUUAAAACAUUUUCAGCUAACUCAAAGGCUCAGUGUAGUCAGGAUCUGAAGAAGGAGUGAUCUAUGGAAGUCUAGGAGAAAACAGAAUUAUAACCAUAGAAAGUAAGAUUAAAAGAGGAACCAAUUACAAUUGGAGAAAAUAUCACUUUGGAGAGUGAAGGAAAUGAUUGUCUCUAGUCCAAUUUAGCAAUUCAGGGAACUGAUGAUUCAGAGUCUUUCAUCUCUAGUUUACCAAUUAACAUAUAACCCAGGGUUGUAGUUAGAGACAGUUGUUACCAUCUUACGUUUGGCAGACUGUGCAAUGAAUUUUGAUGGUCUCAGUGCAGUUCUAUGUCACAGGAGUCAGUGUAGCAUCAUUUGGAAUUUUGUUGGUACUUGUAGCCUAAGCAGUGUGACACACCCAGACCAGUGGGAUACAGGUAGACGGCAAAUAUACUGGACACUGGAUGAGUAGUUUUCUGUUCCCUGAGUGACCAGAGCAGGGGCUGCACUAGAGUAAUCAGGAACUUGCUAGAACCAGUUAAGGCAGGCAGGCUAAUUAGGACACCUGGAGCCAAUUAAGAAGC
This is a long non-coding RNA of Chrysemys picta bellii (western painted turtle), 2165 nucleotides long. RefSeq lists it as uncharacterized. Lineage: Eukaryota; Metazoa; Chordata; Testudines; Emydidae. The record is from RefSeq and is a predicted model, not a curated record.